GGUGCCAUAGCUCAGCCGGAUAGAGCAAGAGCCUUCUAAGCUCUAGGUCGUAGGUUCGAAUCCUACUGGCAUCGCCA
Molecule: transfer RNA, 77 nt
Filed under: bacterium
Lineage: Bacteria
Description: tRNA-Arg
Rfam family: tRNA
About the family: Transfer RNA (tRNA) molecules are approximately 80 nucleotides in length.
Source: RNAcentral